Potamilus streckersoni is the source of this 75-nucleotide non-coding RNA. The record is from the annotation of a GenBank genome assembly. NCBI's taxonomy places the organism in Eukaryota, Metazoa, Mollusca, Bivalvia, Unionida, Unionidae.
GACUGUUCCUAUAGCCUAGUGGUUAGUGUCUGACUCUGAUGCGGAAGGUCAUGGGUUCGAACCCUGGUAUAGUCA